CCAGACUCCUACGGGAGGCAGCAGUGAGGAAUAUUGGUCAAUGGGCGAGAGCCUGAACCAGCCAAGUAGCGUGCAGGAUGACGGCCCUAUGGGUUGUAAACUGCUUUUAUGCGGGGAUAAAGUGAGGGACGUGUCCUUCAUUGCAGGUACCGCAUGAAUAAGGACCGGCUAAUUCCGUGCCAGCAGCCGCGGUAAUACGGAAGGUCCUGGCGUUAUCCGGAUUUAUUGGGUUUAAAGGGAGCGUAGGCCGUGGAUUAAGCGUGUUGUGAAAUGCAGGUGCUCAACGUCUGCACUGCAGCGCGAACUGGUUCACUUGAGUGUGCGCAACGCAGGCGGAAUUCGUCGUGUAGCGGUGAAAUGCUUAGAUAUGACGAAGAACUCCGAUUGCGAAGGCAGCUUGCGGGAGCACAACUGACGCUGAAGCUCGAAAGUGCGGGUAUCGAACAGGAUUAGAUACCCUGGUAGUCCGCACGGUAAACGAUGGAUGCCCGUUGUCAGGCUGUUUCAGCCUGGUGACCAAGCGAAAGCAUUAAGCAUCCCACCUGGGGAGUACGCCGGCAACGGUGAAACUCAAAGGAAUUGACGGGGGCCCCGCACAAGAAU
Molecule: ribosomal RNA, 603 nt
Filed under: uncultured bacterium
Lineage: Bacteria
Description: bacterial SSU rRNA
Rfam family: Bacterial small subunit ribosomal RNA
Source: RNAcentral